This 218-nucleotide ribosomal RNA is filed under the name Empria sp. YI-2013. RNAcentral describes it as "partial 16S ribosomal RNA". Lineage: Eukaryota; Metazoa; Arthropoda; Insecta; Hymenoptera; Tenthredinidae. The record is from RNAcentral.
ACUGUCUCUAAUUAAUUUUUAUUUUAAUUUAAUUUUUAAGUUAAAAAGCUUAAAUUUUUUUAAAGGACGAGAAGACCCUAUAGAGUUUUAUAAUUAUUUAUAUAUUAUAUUUAAUUUAUUAUUAUAUUUAAUUAAUUAUUUUAUUGGGGUGAUAGAAAAAUUAAUUAAACUUUUUUAUAAUUUUUACAUAAAUUAAUGAAUAUUUUGAUCCUUAUUUU